AUUGAACGCUGGCGGAAUGCUUUACACAUGCAAGUCGAGCGGCAGCACGGGGGCAACCCUGGUGGCGAGCGGCGAACGGGUGAGUAAUACAUCGGAACAUGCCCAGUCGUGGGGGAUAACACUUCGAAAGAAGUGCUAAUACCGCAUACGUCCUGAGGGAGAAAGCGGGGGAUCGCAAGACCUCGCGCGAUUGGAGUGGCCGAUGUCAGAUUAGCUAGUUGGUGGGGUAAAGGCCUACCAAGGCAACGAUCUGUAGCUGGACUGAGAGGAUGAUCAGCCACACUGGGACUGAGACACGGCCCAGACUCCUACGGGAGGCAGCAGUGGGGAAUUUUGGACAAUGGGGGCAACCCUGAUCCAGCCAUUCCGCGUGAGUGAAGAAGGCCUUCGGGUUGUAAAGCUCUGUCGGCAGGAACGAAACGGUGAGCUCUAACAUAGCUUGCUAAUGACGGUACCUGAAGAAGAAGCACCGGCUAACUACGUG
Molecule: ribosomal RNA, 484 nt
Filed under: uncultured bacterium
Lineage: Bacteria
Description: partial 16S ribosomal RNA
Rfam family: Bacterial small subunit ribosomal RNA
Source: RNAcentral